This 685-nucleotide long non-coding RNA is filed under the name Phoenix dactylifera (date palm). RNAcentral's name for it is "long non-coding RNA (PDAC_LNC001296)". Lineage: Eukaryota; Viridiplantae; Streptophyta; Magnoliopsida; Arecales; Arecaceae. The record is from RNAcentral.
AAAAAUCAGAAUCUAGAUAGUUAUAAAUACAUGCGUGCGAGUCCCUGCCCCCCACAAAAACAUACACACACAUUUGAAAAAAUAAAAAUAAAAAAACCAUGAAACAGCUACUCAUUCAAUGUCCUCAAAGCAGUCAAGACGCUACCUCGCAUGAUCCAAAGGAGGUGGACACAUUAAAUUAAGUGUCAAAUAGAUCUAACUUCAUUUUUCAGUCGGCAUCCAGUGUUGAGGUUUUAUACAAAAGCAGCAUCUUGUGAACAUGCACUGUUUCAUUCCAAAUAUCUUGCAUGCAACAAGCUUCAGAAUUCAGUCGUACAAUGGGAUCUGUAAUAUUUUUAGCCCCUUAUAUCUUCAGCUUUACUACCCUGUGAAACCAUUAGAAUACUCUCUUUUUCAACAAAGUGGUUGCCACAAUAAAGGCAUUUCAAACCAUUCAGUGACUUUGUUAUCAAAUAAUGCAGUUCAAUAAACCAAAUAUUCAAGGACCAGAUCCGUGAACAAAAAGAACCAAAGCAGCUUCCAUUGCCUGAGCAUUCACAUUGCUGUCAGACAAUGCAAAAAGAGAUUCACAUGGGUAAUGUGCCAGUAAAGAGCAAACCCCUAUUUGAAAACAUGACUGUGGGACUACCAAAGGAAGCAUGAUGCGAUGUGAAUGUCAAGUUUUUGAAACUGGUUGCGUACCUUU